This 376-nucleotide ribosomal RNA is filed under the name uncultured bacterium. RNAcentral's name for it is "bacterial SSU rRNA". It matches the Rfam family "Bacterial small subunit ribosomal RNA", at positions 524 to 898 of the family's 1533-position model. The record is from RNAcentral.
UACGGAGGGUGCGAGGGUUAAUCGGAAUUACUGGGCGUAAAGCGUGCGUAGGCGGCUGUUUAAGUCAGAUGUGAAAGCCCCGGGCUUAACCUGGGAACUGCAUUUGAUACUGGGCAGCUAGAGUUUAGGAGAGGAGAGUGGAAUUUCCGGUGUAGCGGUGAAAUGCGUAGAGAUCGGAAGGAACACCAGUGGCGAAGGCGGCUCUCUGGCCUAAAACUGACGCUGAGGUACGAAAGCGUGGGUAGCAAACAGGAUUAGAUACCCUGGUAGUCCACGCCGUAAACGAUGUCAACUAGCCGUUGGGUUUAUUAAUGAACUUAGUGGUGCAGCUAACGCAUUAAGUUGACCGCCUGGGGAGUACGGCCGCAAGGUUAAA